This 670-nucleotide long non-coding RNA is filed under the name Homo sapiens (human). RNAcentral's name for it is "HSALNT0366323". The record is from RNAcentral. Lineage: Eukaryota; Metazoa; Chordata; Mammalia; Primates; Hominidae.
GGGACAAAGUCAAGGAGACUUCAAAGAUGAGAAAUGAUUGCACUGGGCCUUAGAGAGGAAGUUCAGCAGAACAAGGUGGGAAGGGCACGAUAUCAGAGAUCACCUGAUACUUCCAAGCAAGCAGGUGUUCUUUUCAGAAGCCAGAAGCUGAUAACCUGGGCUUUCUGAUCUAACCCCAGCCCAAAUUCAUUGCAAUGGAGGAAUUGGGGAGGAGAUUCUUCCUACUGAGAAGUGGGUGCCAACUCUCCCUUUCAAAUUUGUUCAUCAACAAACUAAAGGGGAUGCCAGAAAUGUCUGGAGCAAUGGAAGAACCACUGGAAUAAUGCUCCUGCCUGAUUGUAUCUACUUAACCCACUCUCCAAGAGCCAGAAUCAGAUUUCAACCGUAUGGAAUCAUCUACAAUGCAGCAGAUGGGUUUACAAGUCUCUUGGUCUCUUCAUGUAAUUAACAGCCAAGAAGUCUAAAGCUUGCAUUGUUUACGUGGAAGAUGUUUCUUGCCCAUUCCCAUGCCAUGCCAUCUGAAAUCGCUCCUUUUUUUAUUUUUUCUGUGCAGUUUUUUUAACUUUGUGGGAUCCUCUGCAUAUAAAACUCCAUUCAACUACUUCAUCCUACUGUAGAAAGCUACUUCCCUAUGAGUUUAGCUCCAUGAUUUACAAUGGUUUCUUUUCCC